UACGUAGGUGGCAAGCGUUGUCCGGAUUUAUUGGGUUUAAAGGGUGCGUAGGCGGUUUAAUAAGUCAGUGGUGAAAUACGGCAGCUCAACUGUCGAGGUGCCAUUGAUACUGUUGGACUUGAGUACAGACGAGGUAGGCGGAAUUGACGGUGUAGCGGUGAAAUGCUUAGAUAUCGUCAAGAACACCGAUAGCGAAGGCAGCUUACCAGGCUGUAACUGACGCUGAGGCACGAAAGUGUGGGGAUCAAACAGG
Molecule: ribosomal RNA, 253 nt
Filed under: uncultured bacterium
Lineage: Bacteria
Description: partial 16S ribosomal RNA
Rfam family: Bacterial small subunit ribosomal RNA
Source: RNAcentral